This is a long non-coding RNA of Equus caballus (horse), 4378 nucleotides long. The record is from Ensembl. Lineage: Eukaryota; Metazoa; Chordata; Mammalia; Perissodactyla; Equidae.
GUCGUGGCUAUAUUUAUUGUCUCUCCCUGCCAACCUCAGCCUGGCUUCAUAUAGAGCAGAGGGCCCGGGAGGCUGAGCCUGUGAGAAAUGCAAAUUCUCGGCUCCACCUCAGACAUUCGCAAUCAGAACCUCUGGCCUGGGGACUGGGCGCUCUGUGUGAGCGAUUUCUUGGGAGACUUGCAUCUCGGCCAGUCUGAGAGCGCCCAUCUGGAGAUCCUAACGUGUGACUCGCCCCCCGACACUCACCUUGCUCUCUCCCUGCCCCGCCUCAUUCCUGGAACAGUCCGCGCUGCAGGUGUGGGAAGAAAGUAAGAAGCUUCUGAAAGAAUUUUCCAAAUUAACUCAAAUUGCCAGUGGUCUGCUUCUGUCUCCUGACGACAUCUUCCUUGGAAGAAGACUAAGGUUCUUGAUUUCCUUCUACUCGAAGCUGUGGCCCUGAAGGCAGAGCGGCUGAGACAGUGGACGUGGGAAUGAAUGGCCACUGAAUCUCUUGACCUAGAAUUGUGCUCCUAGAGAAGGCUUUCCACCUUCCCCCCGGGGCCCAUUCAUUGAGGACGACUUGGGUACUUUGGUGGCAAGCAACAGAAGUGGAUUCUGCUACCUUAAUGAAGAAAAAAAGGUGGGUGCUGAAGUACAUACACUUGGGAGCUAUGAACACAUUCUGCGUAUAUAUUCUGGGAGCUGAGACAGCUCAACUAGUCUGCAGAGAGAAAAAUGAAGCAGGUGUGCAGUGGAAAGCACAGAAACGUCUAUUGGGGCUUGGACCAAUAAAUGUGGAAGGAGGAAGAGAGAAGAAUUUGUCUGCCUGGUCAUAUCUCCCAUUGGUCAAAGUGGGCUGCACAGAGCAUCAGGACCCCCACGCUUCCAAGUGGCUCUGUCUGGCGUCGCCCACAAAGGAAAGCCAGAUCCCCAAACAGCAGCAGAAGCAUCUGCAGCCUGAACCAGGGCACAUGGAGCCAGCGCAGCAACAGGGGAGCCCUGGGGCAGGAGGUGAGAGGCAUAUGGUGUGAGGCAUGAAGCAACAUGCUGUCGAGUUGUGCCUGCAAGCCACGUGAGGAACCGGGAACAUCUGCCACGAUGGACCCAGCCCAGCCAAGCAGGUUCAUCAUAACCCAGCAAGACUACGAAGAGCAGCUCCUCCCCACCUGGCGGCAUCCUGAACUGAAACCAGCCAGGCGCUUCCCCAGACCGGUGAGAACUGACCCCACCCAGGUUCCGCAGGCAGCCCAGCCUCAUGCUUCAUCGUGUGCAUCUUCCUCGUGCUCCAAGAAGGAGCCUGGCUCCGCUGUGUGUCUCAGCACCGUGAGACAAGGCCUUGGCCUUGAUGCUCUCACAACAGAAGCAUCCGCUCAUCCCCCAGACACGUCAUGGGGUGUGUCCAGCCCCAGGAGAGGAUUCUGCACUUGCUGGGUUUUCCUGCCAGAGGCGUGGUGGGAAUCGGUAAGGGGCUUGCUCACCUGCCAGGAGGAAGUGGCUGUGGCCUCUCCUUCCUGCCUUCCUCCGGCCACAGCUUUAGAUGACACAUUACAGCAGUGCUGCCUGCUGAGUUGUUUGGAGGGCAGCAUGGGCAGUGGGGAAAAAAGGGGGCUUGGAGUCCUGGGUUCAAAUCCCAGCUCCCCCAGUUACUGUGUGACCUUGGCAAGUGACAGCCUCUCGGGGCGUCUGUUGUCAUAUCUGUAGGAUGAGGAUAUGACACAGACCUGACUGGGUUAUAGUGAAAGUUCGGCUUUUCCCAUCCCCCUCUGACCCCAUUCCUACGGGCAGAGCAGCUUGCUUGUGUCUCCUAUACGAGGAUCAGCACUUGACAGCUGCCUCCAUCAAAUAUUCAACACCAGCAAGCCCCAGCACACGCUUCCUCUGCGCGCUGCCAUCCAGCAAAGUGCUCAUCCUUCCAGGGCUCAGUGGGGACCAUGGCACUUGGCAGUCUCCUUUCUUUUUGUUGUUUGCCGCAGCUGGUGGUGGAGGGCGGGGGCUGCUGUGCUGGACGCGAGACAGGGCUGGGUCAGAGCACACCAUCUCCAUCAUCAGCCGCCACCCUCGCCUUCCCGGCGAGCCACGGCUCUAUCCUUAGAGCCCGUAGGGAGCCCUGGAGCAGGGCCAUGGGAGGCAGCCCCUUGCACUGGAGGCCGGCCUGGUUUUCCAGGGGCCACUGUGCAGCCUUAAAAGGGCUGUCUCUGAGCAGACCCUCCUCCACUGCCCCUCUGAAUGAUACCUUAGUUAAAAUUCCCCCGGUGCUCUGAUUUCCAUUUACCCUCUUCUCCUCCCCCUUCCUUGGCAUUUCUUCAAAUCUUUUUCCUUUAAAUUUUUAAUUGAAGAAUAAUAUCUCUCACCUUUUUUUUCCCCAACAAGGAACAAGUUCAUGGCUGAGUAUUAAAAGGGUAUCCUGAGAGCACAGAAAAUGAAGACAGCUCUGUCACCAGCUUGUGGGUGACCCUGAGGAACAUGUGCAGGCUUCCGGUGUGGCUCCCUUAUUUAUUCCGGGAGAUGGCAGGUGGCAUGUUCCCAGCAGACAGGUGCUGGUGUCAGGAGCCCAGCACCUGUGUGCAUUAGACAGCAACGUUGGGUGGGGAAGAAGAGAGGUGGGUGGCAAGCCGAGGGACGCAGCCUUCCCUGCAUGCACAGGGGCGAGCUGAGCCCUGUGAAGGACUGGCCUGAGCGGGGACAUGUUCACAGAGGGAGCAAUUCUUGGUGAGGAGAGACAGUGAGGUCAUCCUCCUCCCAGGUGUGUCUUGGGAGAAGCGUGUCAGGGGGGAGUCGCAUGAUGAGGCCGCGGUUGAGUCAAUCUGCCUCGGAGAAGAGCUGGCAGCUGGGAGUAGGAGGGGAUGAGAGGUGAGGUGGCCGGAAGGGUCCUGAUAUGCAGGGAGGAGCUUUAUGGCCUAGUCUGGGCUGCCUAGAAUCCUCUGGUCACCUCUGCCCUUGUGCUAGCACGGCUGGCCACCUGGGCCAUUCCCUCACCUCAGCUCACUCAGCCUGCCCCACCCCUGGGCUGGAGGACACGCCUCAUUACAUAGUUUUCAGAUGGGUAAACUGAGGCAGGAGCCACUGCAGGCCCCGAGAGGAGGGGAAGAGAGCCAGGGAGCGACAACGCCCUGGUGAGGGUGAGGCACUCACAUCCGCCGCCCAGCCCUCCUUAGCCCUGUCAUGAGCAGUGUGCUCAGCUCCUGCCUCCCUCCUUCUCUGACCCUGACCCUUCCUGUUUCCCUGAGAGCCCUUGGCCCUCCCCGCCACCUCGCCCCCGGCCUGCACUGCCCGCGCUGCGACCACGUGCGGCGGCGCCUUGGUCCAGGGUCUUCCCUCUUCUCUGCUGCUCCUCGGUGGCUGCCCGCCGCAGGCGCGGGAGGAGGCAGGCGGCCGGUUCACCCGGAGGCCAGGGACUCCAGGCCACAGGGCACAGCCGAGCAUCCCCGCUGGGCAAGCCUCAGGAGCGGCUGGCGGCAGCAGGGGGCUGAAGGCCUGGUGGGGACAGGCAGCCCAGGCAGGAUGGAGCAGGCCCCAACUCCCAGCGAUGCCAAGGGCUCAGGGGCUUAGCGCUCGCUCUUGGGCUCGUGAACGGAAGCGGUGCUGCUCAUCCCCCAUCCUGCUAUCCCCAUCCCCCAUCCCCCAUCUCCCAUCUCCCAUCUCCCCAUCCGCCAUCCAAGUUCUUUGUCCUGUUUCAUUAGUUGAAUCAUGAGGCUUGACAGUACCGUAAAACUUGAAAUGUUCAAUUCUGCUUUUAAAAUGGAAAACUAAACAAAAACCAUUGUCCAGUGAGCUCCCAACCUAUCAGAGAGCAGAGCACUCGGUGGAGCCAGGGGCCUGGGCCACCAGCAGGCUGAGUGACCGUGGGCAGGUCACCUCAUCUCCCACCCCCUUGGGGUCCCUGGUUGUAAAUUGUUAGGAGUGGAUAUUUCUCCAAAGUUUCUCUGGUUUUCAGUAUUAUAAUGCUGAGUCUCAGAAACAUUGUUAGCAAGUAAUACAGUCAUAAAGCAAGUUACCACAAUAAUAACAAUAAAGUGUAACUACUCUGAUUUUUUAAAAUGCAAGUGUUUUAUUUUCAAAGGUGACUUGGAAAAUGCAGGAGUUAUCCCAAAGGGGAGGAACGUUUUCGUGUGGGACUGGUGUGGGGGCUGGGGCUGGUGUGGCGCACGCUCAGUAUUUCAGUUUCAGAUAGAGUUGGAAACUCGCUUCUCCCCAUUAAGCCCUGGAGGAAAUUAGUUACACUUCCUUGUGGAAGUGAAGAAGAGAUUCUCUGCGCCGUUCAAAAGGCCCUUUCACAAAGUUCUGGGACAAGCACUGCUGUGCGUGUGUGUGUGUGUGCGUGUGUGUAUGCGUGUGUGUGCGUGCAUGUGUGUGUGUGUGUGUGUGUGUGUAUGUGAGAGAGAGAGAGAGAGAAGGAGAG